Molecule: transfer RNA, 85 nt
Filed under: Acidimicrobiia bacterium
Lineage: Bacteria; Bacillati; Actinomycetota; Acidimicrobiia
Description: tRNA-Ser
Rfam family: tRNA
About the family: Transfer RNA (tRNA) molecules are approximately 80 nucleotides in length. Their secondary structure includes four short double-helical elements and three loops (D, anti-codon, and T loops).
Source: RNAcentral
GGAGGGAUGCGAGAGCGGCCGAAUCGGCACGCCUGGAGAGCGUGUGUUCCGCAAGGGACCGUGGGUUCAAAUCCCACUCCCUCCG